AUUGAACGCUGGCGGCAGGCCUAACACAUGCAAGUCGAACGGUAACAGGAAGAAGCUUGCUUCUUUGCUGACGAGUGGCGGACGGGUGAGUAAUGUCUGGGCAACUGCCUGAUGGAGGGGGAUAACUACUGGAAACGGUAGCUAAUACCGCAUAAUGUCGCAAGACCAAAGAGGGGGACCUUCGGGCCUCUUGCCAUCGGCUGUGCCCAGAUGGGAUUAGCUAGUAGGUGGGGUAACGGCUCACCUAGGCGACGAUCCCUAGCUGGUCUGAGAGGAUGACCAGCCACACUGGAACUGAGACACGGUCCAGACUCCUACGGGAGGCAGCAGUGGGGAAUAUUGCACAAUGGGCGCAAGCCUGAUGCAGCUAUGCCGCGUGUAUGAAGAAGGCCUUCGGGUUGUAAAGUACUUUCAGCGGGGAGGAAGGGAGUAAAGUUAAUACCUUUGCUCAUUGACGUUACCCGCAGAAGAAGCACCGGCUAACUCCGUG
This 490-nucleotide ribosomal RNA is filed under the name uncultured bacterium. RNAcentral describes it as "partial 16S ribosomal RNA". It matches the Rfam family "Bacterial small subunit ribosomal RNA", at positions 30 to 507 of the family's 1533-position model. The record is from RNAcentral.